This 1198-nucleotide unclassified non-coding RNA is filed under the name Haliotis rufescens (red abalone). Its description in RNAcentral is "uncharacterized LOC124127934, transcript variant X5". Lineage: Eukaryota; Metazoa; Mollusca; Gastropoda; Lepetellida; Haliotidae. The record is from RNAcentral.
GCGACUCACACGGGUCGGCCUGUCGUAACGACAUGCCGAUUUCCAUACAUUGUACAACAUGUUCGGUGAUUGUAACGAAUAUCGACAAAUCGAUUUGUUGCCACUCACACGAUUCGAUCUGCCGAUUGGGUGUCGAUCUCAUGAUAUCUCACGAUAAUUUGUUUCCAUGGUAUCAAAAUGUCUGAAGCAGACGUGGCAGCAGUCAUCUGCUGCGCGAUAUUGUGUGAAGAAGACGGCAAUGCCAACGUGAAGAAAGAGAGAAGUUGUUGGACUAAAGAUUGGAUUCUCCGUCGCGACAUGCAGGGAGCGUACAACAAUCUGAUAAAAGAACUCGAAAUUGAGGAUGAACAGUCGUAUUACAAUUUUUUUCGCAUGGGAAAAGAAAGUUUUAACCAUCUGUUAUUAAAAGUCCAGCCAAAGAUAAAAAAGCAGGACACUAACAUGCGGGAAUGCCUUCCAGCCGGAUUGAAGUUGGCAGUUACACUUCGUUUCCUGUCUAGCGGUGACAACUUCCAGUCUCUGUCUUACCUGUACAGAGUGCCAUCCAACACCAUAUGCACAUUCGUCCCAGAGGUCUGUCAAGGCAUUUAUGAAGCCCUCCAGCCAGAGUAUGCCAAGAUGUCGGUGCCAAUGGGAGAGCUGGAGAUGCAGGGAUCUUUGCAAAUUCAGAUCUGUUGAGGUGUAUUGAGGCUAAUACAGUUAAUAUACCAUCACCAAAGCCUCUUCCAGGAAGACAAGAGGACACACCACAUGUUAUUCAAAACUAUUAUGGCUGCAGUGGUCUUACACAAUUUCCUGCGUACCAAGAAAGAUCGAGUUUACAGUACACACUCUGAUGUUGAACCUGACACCACACAAGUUAGUCACGCAAUGCGUCUAUCAAGACAAGGGGGCAACUUUUCCUCAUCAUCAGCCAGAGAUGUCAGGGAUGAAUUUACUGACUAUUUCAUGACAAAUGGACAAGUUGACUGGCAAUGGGACAAAAUUUAACCUUGUAUGGCACAGUGAGCUGUGUCAGUAUGGGACACACUGAGCCUAUGUCAGUAUGGUAAAUUGACCUGUGUCAGUAUGGUGCAUUUAGCUUUGCCAGUGAGUAGAUGUGCAAUCAAGAAUGUGGUAUGUAGCUGAGUCUACAUAAUGAUAAUUGUAAAUAACCACCUUUGUGUAAAUUGUGGAAGCAAAUAAACAAUACUGUAAU